GUCAGCAGGGGGAAUAACCCAGGGCUGUGAAUGAGCCCUGUCACUGUGAUCAGGUUCCUCCUUCUAAUCCACCAACUUAGUGUUGAUGAAGACUAAACAGAGAGAUCCCAGCCUUCUUUCUACUUGCUGUAGCUCAGAGUUACUCCACACUGCAGAUAUGACGCCUCUGUUCAUCUCAGUGCUGCUGGCUGCUAUGAGCCUUGAAUGCAGAGCACAACAAGACAACGUGCUGCAACCAACAGGAGAUGUGACUGCUACUGAAGGAGAGGCAGUAACACUUGGCUGUCAAUAUAGCAGCAGUUCAACUAGUAAUUAUCUCUUCUGGUACAAACAGGAUGGAAACAACAGCCCCAAAUUCAUUCUGAUACGCGUUCAAGGGGAUGAAGGGAACACAGCGGACGAGUUCAGGGACAGAUUUUCAUCUACACACAAUUCCAAGUUAAAGUCAGUUCAUCUGCAGAUCUCCUCAGCUAAGCUGUCUGACUCUGCUGUGUACUACUGUGCUCUGCAGCCCACAGUGACAGGAAACACCAAAACUCUGUACAAAAACCUUUGGAGCAAAGACAACACAAUACUCCACAACGUCCACCAGAGGGAGACACACUCUGUUAACCUUCAGAGUAUUUCAUGAGCCCGUCAGGAUUCUUUUCACUAAUGAAACCCAGUUGUGAUGAAGACUUGGAGAAAUGAAAGUAAGUCAACAUCUGAGUCUCCUCCUCCUGACUGCAGAGGUGGCUUCAUGACAGACAACUGUUUGAUUCCAGCUGUGAACAUCAGACCAACAACUCACAACACU
Molecule: non-coding RNA, 796 nt
Organism: Etheostoma spectabile (orangethroat darter)
Lineage: Eukaryota; Metazoa; Chordata; Actinopteri; Perciformes; Percidae
Source: the annotation of a RefSeq genome assembly